CAGCAGCCGCGGUAACACGAAGGGUGCAAGCGUUAAUCGGAAUUACUGGGCGUAAAGCGUGCGUAGGCGGUGAGUUAAGUCUGCUGUGAAAUCCCCGGGCUCAACCUGGGAAUGGCAGUGGAUACUGGCUCGCUAGAGUGUGUCAGAGGAUGGUGGAAUUCCCGGUGUAGCGGUGAAAUGCGUAGAGAUCGGGAGGAACAUCAGUGGCGAAGGCGGCCAUCUGGGACAACACUGACGCUGAGGCACGAAAGCGUGGGGAGCAAACAGGAUUAGAGACCCCGGUAGUCCCUGUCUCUUAUAC
This 301-nucleotide ribosomal RNA is filed under the name uncultured bacterium. Its description in RNAcentral is "partial 16S ribosomal RNA". It matches the Rfam family "Bacterial small subunit ribosomal RNA", at positions 509 to 807 of the family's 1533-position model. The record is from RNAcentral.